RNAcentral lists this ribosomal RNA (1287 nucleotides) under Rhynchocypris lagowskii (Amur minnow). RNAcentral describes it as "partial 16S ribosomal RNA". It matches the Rfam family "Bacterial large subunit ribosomal RNA", at positions 614 to 2596 of the family's 2925-position model. The record is from RNAcentral. Lineage: Eukaryota; Metazoa; Chordata; Actinopteri; Cypriniformes; Leuciscidae.
CAUGAUUUAGCCAGCACCCCCAAGCAAAGAGACCUUUAGUUUGAUACCCCGAAACCAGGUGAGCUACCCCGAGACAGCCUAUAUUAAUCUAGGGCUAACCCGUCUCUGUGGCAAAAGAGUGGGAAGAGCUCCGGGUAGAAGUGAAAGACCUACCGAACCUGGUGAUAGCUGGUUGACUGAGAAAUGGAUAGAAGUUCAGCCUCGUACACCCCAAACCAAGAAAUGUUAUCGCCAAGAUAUUUAGGGAAACGUACGAGAGUUAGUUGAAAGGGGUACAGCCCUUUUAACAAAGGAUACAACCUUUACAGGAGGAUAAAGAUCAUAAUGUAUAAGAUAUACUGUUCUAGUGGGCCUGAAAGCAGCCACCUAAACAGAAAGCGUUAAAGCUCGGACAGAAAGAAGUUUAUUAUAUUGAUAAAAAAUCUUAUUCCCCUAACUAUAUCAGACCAACCCAUGCCCACAUGGAAGAGAUUAUGCUAAAAUGAGUAAUAAGAAGACCCGCUCUUCUCCCAGCACAAGUGUAAACCAGAUCGGACCAACCACUGGAGCUUAACGAACCCAACCCAAGAGGGUAGUGUGAUUAAGAGAAAACACGAGAAGACCUCACAUUAAUUGAUCGUUAACCCCACACUGGAGUGCUAUUUUAAGGGAAAGACUAAAAGAAGGGGAAGGAACUCGGCAAACACAAGCCUCGCCUGUUUACCAAAAACAUCGCCUCCUGCAACUAGACUGAGUAUAGGAGGUCCAGCCUGCCCAGUGACUACGGGUUCAACGGCCGCGGUAUCUUGACCGUGCAAAGGUAGCGCAAUCACUUGUCUCUUAAAUAGAGACCUGUAUGAAUGGCUAGACGAGGGCUUAACUGUCUCCCCCCUCCAGUCAGUGAAAUUGAUCUAUCCGUGCAGAAGCGGGUAUAAAUAUACAAGACGAGAAGACCCUUUGGAGCUUAAGGUACAAAGUACAACCACGUUAAACAACUCUAUAAGAAGCAAGAACUUAGUGGUAAUGAAUCUUUACCUUCGGUUGGGGCGACCGCGGAGGAAAAACAAGCCUCCGAGUGGACUGGGCCUAACCCCUGAAGCCAAUAGAGACAUCUAUGGGCCGCAGAACAUCUGACCAAAAAUGAUCCGGCUAAAAAGCCGACCAACGAACCAAGUUACCCAAGGGAUAACAGCGCAAUCCCCUCCCAGAGCCCAUAUCUACGAGGGGGUUUACGACCUCGAUGUUGGAUCAGGACAUCCUAAUGGUGCAGCCGCUAUUAAGGGUUCGUUUGUUCAACGAUUAAAGUCC